GGGAGGUAUGCUGGACGUAUCAGAAGUGCGAAUGCUGACAUGAGUAACGAUAAUGGGAGUGAAAAACUCCCACGCCGGAAGACCAAGGGUUCCUAUCCCAUGUUAAUCAGGGUAGGGUAAGUCGACCCCUAAGGCGAGGCCGAAAGGCGUAGUCGAUGGGAAACGGAUUAAUAUUUCCGUACUUGGUAUAAUUGCGAUGGGGGGACGGAGAAGGCUAAGCAAGCAUGGCGAUGGUUGUCCAUGUGAAAGUGAGUAGGGCGUUUGUUUAGGUAAAUCCGGACGAACAUUAAACCUGAGACACGAGACGAGCUACUACGGUAGUGAAGUUGCUGAUGCCAUACUUCCAGGAAAAGCCUCUAAGCUUCAGAUUAUACCGAAUCGUACCCCAAACCGACACAGGUGGUCAGGUAGAGAAUACUAAGGCGCUUGAGAGAACUCGGGUGAAGGAACUAGGCAAAAUCGUACCGUAACUUCGGGAGAAGGUACGCUCCUAUCUGUGAUGAGACUUGCUCUCUAAGCGGACGGGAGCCGCAGUGACCAGGUGGCUGGGACUGUUUAUUAAAAACACAGCACUGUGCAAAAUCGCAAGAUGACGUAUACGGUGUGACACCUGCCCGGUGCCGGAAGGUUAAUUGAUGGGGUUAUCCUUAGGGAGAAGCUCUUGAUCGAAGCCCCGGUAAACGGCGGCCGUAACUAUAACGGUCCUAAGGUAGCGAAAUUCCUUGUCGGGUAAGUUCCGACCUGCACGAAUGGUGUAACCAUGGCCACGCUGUCUCCACCCGAGACUCAGUGAAAUUGAAAUCGCAGUGAAGAUGCUGUGUACCCGCGGCUAGACGGAAAGACCCCGUGAACCUUUACUACAGCUUGGCACUGAACAUUGAACCUACAUGUGUAGGAUAGGUGGGAGACUUUGAAGAUGAGACGCUAGUCUUGUUGGAGUCGUCCUUGAAAUACCACCCUUGUAGUUUUGAUGUUCUAACGUUGGCCCCUGAAUCGGGGUUACGGACAGUGCCUGGUGGGUAGUUUGACUGGGGCGGUCUCCUCCCAAAGAGUAACGGAGGAGCACGAAGGUUGGCUAAGUACGGUCGGACAUCGUACGGU
Molecule: ribosomal RNA, 1101 nt
Filed under: seawater metagenome
Description: bacterial LSU rRNA
Rfam family: Bacterial large subunit ribosomal RNA
Source: RNAcentral